RNAcentral lists this non-coding RNA (903 nucleotides) under Rhinella ceratophrys. RNAcentral describes it as "partial 12S ribosomal RNA". It matches the Rfam family "Bacterial small subunit ribosomal RNA". Lineage: Eukaryota; Metazoa; Chordata; Amphibia; Anura; Bufonidae. The record is from RNAcentral.
GUGAUCAAUUAUUACUUAACAUACACAUGCAAGUAUCCGCCCCCCUGUGAAAACGCCCUUUAACCCCUCCAAGGAACAAGGAGCCGGUAUCAGGCACAAAAAUUUGCCCAAAACACCUAGCUAUGCCACACCCACAAGGGAAUUCAGCAGUGAUUAACAUUACUUAUAAGCGAAAGCUUGAUUUAGUUAAAGUAAAACUAGAGCCGGCUAAUCUGGUGCCAGCCGCCGCGGUUACACCACGUGGCUCAUAUUGACCCUCCUCGGCGUAAAGCGUGAUUAAAGUUUUCUUCAUAUUAGAAUUGAACUAAAACUAAGCCGUGACACGCUUGUUAAUUGAGAAAACCAAAUACGAAAGUUAAUCUAAUUUAAACAACUUGAAUUCACGAUAGCUAAGAAACAAACUGGGAUUAGAUACCCCACUAUGCUUAGCCAUAAACCUUUAUUUACACCUACAUCGCCAGGGAACUACGAGCCAAGCUUAAAACCCAAAGGACUUGACGGUACCCCACAUCCACCUAGAGGAGCCUGUCCUAUAAUCGACAAUCCACGCUUAACCUCACCAUCCCUAGUUUCCAGCCUGUAUACCUCCGUCGUCAGCUUACCACGUGAGCGCCUAUUAGUGAGCUUAAUGUUUUUACACCAGCACGUCAGGUCAAGGUGCAGCAAAUGAGAUGGGAAGAGAUGGGCUACACUCUCUACUUUAGAGAAUACGAAAAACUAUUCAUGAAAUCUAGUUAGAAGGCGGAUUUAGCAGUAAAAAGGAAUCAACAUAUCCAUUUUAAUCUGGCACUGGGGUGUGUACACACCGCCCGUCACCCUCUUCAAGGCUUUAAUUAUAGUCUCUAACAAUUUUAAAUUCUACAGAAGAGGCAAGUCGUAACACGGUAAGCAUACCGGAAGGUG